GGCAAUCUGCCCUUCACUCUGGGACAAGCCCUGGAAACGGGGUCUAAUACCGGAUAACACUCUGUCCCGCAUGGGACGGGGUUAAAAGCUCCGGCGGUGAAGGAUGAGCCCGCGGCCUAUCAGCUUGUUGGUGGGGUAAUGGCCUACCAAGGCGACGACGGGUAGCCGGCCUGAGAGGGCGACCGGCCACACUGGGACUGAGACACGGCCCAGACUCCUACGGGAGGCAGCAGUGGGGAAUAUUGCACAAUGGGCGAAAGCCUGAUGCAGCGACGCCGCGUGAGGGAUGACGGCCUUCGGGUUGUAAACCUCUUUCAGCAGGGAAGAAGCGAAAGUGACGGUACCUGCAGAAGAAGCGCCGGCUAACUACGUGCCAGCAGCCGCGGUAAUACGUAGGGCGCAAGCGUUGUCCGGAAUUAUUGGGCGUAAAGAGCUCGUAGGCGGCUUGUCACGUCGGAUGUGAAAGCCCGGGGCUUAACCCCGGGUCUGCAUUCGAUACGGGCUAGCUAGAGUGUGGUAGGGGAGAUCGGAAUUCCUGGUGUAGCGGUGAAAUGCGCAGAUAUCAGGAGGAACACCGGUGGCGAAGGCGGAUCUCUGGGCCAUUACUGACGCUGAGGAGCGAAAGCGUGGGGAGCGAACAGGAUUAGAUACCCUGGUAGUCCACGCCGUAAACGUUGGGAACUAGGUGUUGGCGAC
Molecule: ribosomal RNA, 696 nt
Filed under: Streptomyces sp.
Lineage: Bacteria; Bacillati; Actinomycetota; Actinomycetes; Kitasatosporales; Streptomycetaceae
Description: bacterial SSU rRNA
Rfam family: Bacterial small subunit ribosomal RNA
Source: RNAcentral